GAUGAACGCUGGCGGCGUGCCUAACACAUGCAAGUCGAACGGAAAGGCUCCUGCUUGCAGGGGUACUCGAGUGGCGAACGGGUGAGUAACACGUGGGUGAUCUGCCCUGCACUUCGGGAUAAGCCUGGGAAACUGGGUCUAAUCCCGGAACGGACGAUGGUUUGGAUGCCAUUGUGGAAAGGUUUUUCGGUGUGGGAUGAGCUCGGGGCCUAUCAGCUUGUUGGUGGGGUAAUGGCCUACCAAGGCGUCGACGGGUAGCCGGCCUGGGAGGGGGGACGGCCACAAUAGUACUGAGGGAGGGCCCAGACGCGUACGGGGGACAACGGUGGAGAGUAUUGCACAAUGGUGGCAAGCGUGAUGCGACGGCGCCGCGUGGGGGAUGACGGCCUGCGGGUAGAGAACUCCUUUCGCUAGAGACGAAGCGCAAGUGACGGUACCGGGAGAAGAAGCACCGGCUAACUACGUG
Molecule: ribosomal RNA, 466 nt
Filed under: uncultured bacterium
Lineage: Bacteria
Description: partial 16S ribosomal RNA
Rfam family: Bacterial small subunit ribosomal RNA
Source: RNAcentral